ACUCAAAGGAAUAGACGGGGGCCCGCACAAGCGGUGGAGCAUGUGGUUUAAUUCGACGCAACGCGCAGAACCUUACCAGCCCUUGACAUCCCGGUCGCGGAUUCCAGAGAUGGAGUCCUUCAGUUCGGCUGGACCGGAGACAGGUGCUGCAUGGCUGUCGUCAGCUCGUGUCGUGAGAUGUUGGGUUAAGUCCCGCAACGAGCGCAACCCCCGUCCUUAGUUGCUACCAUUUGGUUGAGCACUCUAAGGAGACUGCCGGUGAUAAGCCGCGAGGAAGGUGGGGAUGACGUCAAGUCCUCAUGGCCCUUACGGGCUGGGCUACACACGUGCUACAAUGGCGGUGACAGUGGGAUGCGAAGGCGCAAGCCCUAGCAAAUCUCCAAAAGCCGUCUCAGUUCGGAUUGGGCUCUGCAACUCGAGCCCAUGAAGUUGGAAUCGCUAGUAAUCGUGGAUCAGCACGCCACGGUGAAUACGUUCCCGGGCCUUGUACACACCGCCCGU
RNAcentral lists this ribosomal RNA (501 nucleotides) under uncultured bacterium. RNAcentral's name for it is "bacterial SSU rRNA". It matches the Rfam family "Bacterial small subunit ribosomal RNA", at positions 899 to 1397 of the family's 1533-position model. The record is from RNAcentral.